This 253-nucleotide ribosomal RNA is filed under the name uncultured bacterium. RNAcentral's name for it is "partial 16S ribosomal RNA". It matches the Rfam family "Bacterial small subunit ribosomal RNA", at positions 524 to 776 of the family's 1533-position model. The record is from RNAcentral.
UACAGAGGUGGCAAGCGUUGUUCGGAAUUACUGGGCGUAAAGGGCGCGUAGGCGGCCAUCUAAGUCAGACGUGAAAUCCCCCGGCUUAACCUGGGAACUGCGUCUGAUACUGGAAGGCUUGAGUAUGGGAGAGGGAUGUAGAAUUCCAGGUGUAGCGGUGAAAUGCGUAGAUAUCAGGAGGAACACCCGUAGCGAAGGCGGCACUCUGGGCCGAUACUGACACUGAGGAGCGAAAGCGUGGGGAGCGAACAGG